Aphis gossypii (cotton aphid) is the source of this 914-nucleotide long non-coding RNA. RefSeq lists it as uncharacterized. Lineage: Eukaryota; Metazoa; Arthropoda; Insecta; Hemiptera; Aphididae. The transcript is spliced from 3 exons. The record is from RefSeq and is a predicted model, not a curated record.
CUCCAUCUUACAAACUUGCCUGUAAAAUAAAAAAAAUGUCAAUCGUCAAUAAUCGAAAAAUUAUAGAUAUAUAUAGAGAAAAUGCGUAAUCAUAAUAUUUUGUAUGUACAAACAUUGUAGAAAUCAAAGACAUAGAGAAAACUGUAUAUGAAGUGGGUAGCUAUGCAUAUUUUAUAUUUUCUCCUUGGAAAAAAAAUUAAAUAACUACGAAACUCAUUUUGCAAUAAAUUUGUACGUUGUCCAGGAGAUGUUUGCUGUAAUGGUUUAUAUGUUCGUCCGAUUGCGAAUAACAACAUUUUAUUUUUGUUUUUGAAAAUAAAUAGAACGAGAAACAGCAGAUUUGAUGACAACAGACUUUUCAGACAUUAUGAAUAUACUUUCGGAAAACUUAAUAAUUUAAUAUCUAACAUUGUUAAAACAGAAAAUAUUAGAUUCUGAGUGAAGUGAUGAAUGUAUAUUGGUUAUACAAUACUACGCAAUAUUUUCUCUGGAAAUGUAUCUACACCGAAUUUAGCAUAAAGAUUAUUAAUAUAAUAAAUUUGAAAUGAAAAUGGGAAAAUAUUUCCAGCUGCAACCAAUUCGCAAUAACCACCGUAGACAGUAUGCUUGACCAUUUCACGAACAUAAUCCUCAGCAGUGGAAAAGUUGUCACCAUUUGAAUUGUAAGACAUAGUAAUAAAGUUAUUCCAAUUAUCAAACACAUACAAAAAAAUUGUAUUUCGGAUCUCCUGACAUAUUUCUUGAGUGUUAAACAAAUGAAACGAUAUUGAACGAAAAAGGCAGGCACCAUCACUGAUAAUUGGUAUAACUAUUUGAGGUGUCAACAUUCCAAUGACAAAAAUAUCUUCAAUCGAUGACAUUUUUAAAAAAAAUAGUCAAACAAUUAAAUUGAAUAAAUUGAUUUUCUAACGUGU